UACGGAGGGUGCAAGCGUUAUCCGGAUUUAUUGGGUUUAAAGGGUGCGUAGGCGGUAGGAUAAGUCAGUGGUGAAAUUUUGCAGCUUAACUGUAGGUGUGCCAUUGAAACUGUUUUACUUGAGUUAUCAUGAGGUAGGCGGAAUGUGUAGUGUAGCGGUGAAAUGCUUAGAUAUUACACAGAACACCGAUUGCGAAGGCAGCUUACCAAUGGUACAACUGACGCUGAGGCACGAAAGCGUGGGGA
RNAcentral lists this ribosomal RNA (245 nucleotides) under uncultured bacterium. RNAcentral's name for it is "partial 16S ribosomal RNA". It matches the Rfam family "Bacterial small subunit ribosomal RNA", at positions 524 to 767 of the family's 1533-position model. The record is from RNAcentral.